RNAcentral lists this long non-coding RNA (203 nucleotides) under Homo sapiens (human). RNAcentral's name for it is "non-protein coding lnc-SLC4A7-3:1". The record is from RNAcentral. Lineage: Eukaryota; Metazoa; Chordata; Mammalia; Primates; Hominidae.
UCGGAGUUGGAGCUUGGCCGGAAGUGGGACCGGUGCCUGGCGGAUGUGGUCGUGAAGAUAGGCACUGGUUUUGGAUUAGGAAUUGUCUUCUCACCUUCUUUAAAAGAAGAAUGUGGCCAUUAGCCUUCCGUUCUGGCAUGGGAUUAGGAAUGGCUUACUCCAACUGUCACAUGAUUUCCAGGCUCCAUAUCUUCUACACGGAA